This 330-nucleotide small nuclear RNA is filed under the name Myotis davidii. Its description in RNAcentral is "7SK RNA". It matches the Rfam family "7SK RNA". From Rfam's summary of the family: 7SK was discovered as an abundant small nuclear RNA in the mid-70s but a possible function has only recently been suggested. Two independent studies have found that 7SK RNA binds the CDK9/cyclin T complex (known as elongation factor P-TEFb). P-TEFb activates transcription by phosphorylating the C-terminal domain of RNA polymerase II. Lineage: Eukaryota; Metazoa; Chordata; Mammalia; Chiroptera; Vespertilionidae. The record is from Rfam by way of RNAcentral.
GGAUGUGAGGGCGAUCUGGCUGCGACAACUGUCACCCCAUUGAUCGCCAGGGUUGAUUCGGCUGAUCUGGCUGGCUAGGCGGGUGUCCCCCUCCUCCCUCACCGAUCCAUGUGCGUCCCUCCCGAAGCUGCGCGCUCAGUCAAAGAGGACGACCCCCCUCGCGCCCCCCAGGAGAGGACCGGUCUUCGGUCAAGGGUAUACGAGUAGCUGCGCUCCCCUGCUAGAACCUCCAAACAAGCUCUCAAGAAAAAGCUGUUAUUCCAGUAUUGUUCAUUACAAGAAGAAUAUUACUCCAUUGCAGAAACUGGAAAACUCACUAUCACUGUUGUU